Molecule: ribosomal RNA, 290 nt
Filed under: uncultured Rhodobacter sp.
Lineage: Bacteria; Pseudomonadati; Pseudomonadota; Alphaproteobacteria; Rhodobacterales
Description: partial 16S ribosomal RNA
Rfam family: Bacterial small subunit ribosomal RNA
Source: RNAcentral
UUGGACAAUGGGCGAAAGCCUGAUCCAGCAAUGCCGCGUGAGUGAUGAAGGCCUUAGGGUUGUAAAGCUCUUUUACCCGGGAUGAUAAUGACAGUACCGGGAGAAUAAGCCCCGGCUAACUCCGUGCCAGCAGCCGCGGUAAUACGGAGGGGGCUAGCGUUGUUCGGAAUUACUGGGCGUAAAGCGCGCGUAGGCGGCUUUGUAAGUUAGAGGUGAAAGCCCGGAGCUCAACUCCGGAACUGCCUUUAAGACUGCAUCGCUAGAAUCGUGGAGAGGUGAGUGGAAUUCCG